RNAcentral lists this unclassified non-coding RNA (354 nucleotides) under soil metagenome. RNAcentral describes it as "partial contains 5.8S ribosomal RNA, internal transcribed spacer 2, and large subunit ribosomal RNA". The stretch from base 1 to 120 matches the Rfam family "5.8S ribosomal RNA", at positions 35 to 154 of the family's 154-position model. The record is from RNAcentral.
GAUGAAGAACGCAGCGAAAUGCGAUAAGUAAUGUGAAUUGCAGAAUUCAGUGAAUCAUCGAAUCUUUGAACGCACAUUGCGCCCGCCAGUAUUCUGGCGGGCAUGCCUGUUCGAGCGUCAUUACAACCCUCAGGCCCCCGGGCCUGGCGUUGGGGAUCGGCGGAAGCCCCCUGCGGGCACAACGCCGUCCCCCAAAUACAGUGGCGGUCCCGCCGCAGCUUCCAUUGCGUAGUAGCUAACACCUCGCAACUGGAGAGCGGCGCGGCCACGCCGUAAAACACCCAACUUCUGAACGUUUGACCUCGGAUCAGGUAGGAAUACCCGCUGAACUUAAGCAUAUCAAUAAGCGGAGGA